RNAcentral lists this ribosomal RNA (379 nucleotides) under uncultured delta proteobacterium. RNAcentral's name for it is "bacterial SSU rRNA". It matches the Rfam family "Bacterial small subunit ribosomal RNA", at positions 521 to 896 of the family's 1533-position model. The record is from RNAcentral. Lineage: Bacteria; Deltaproteobacteria.
UAAUACGUAGGGUGCGAGCGUUGUUCGGAAUUACUGGGCGUAAAGGGCGCGCAGGCGGAAUAGCAAGUCGGAAGUGAAAGCCCGGGGCUCAACCCCGGAGGGUCUUUCGAAACUGCUAAUCUAGAGAGGGUCAGGGGCCAGCAGAAUUCUUGGUGUAGAGGUGAAAUUCGUAGAUAUCAAGAGGAAUACCGGUGGCGAAGGCGGCUGGCUGGGGCCACUCUGACGCUGAGGCGCGAAAGCGUGGGGAGCAAACAGGAUUAGAUACCCUGGUAGUCCACGCCGUAAACGAUGAGCACUGGAUGUCCGGAGGGUUCGACCCUUCUGGGUGUCUCAGCUAACGCAUUAAGUGCUCCGCCUGGGGAGUACGGUCGCAAGACUA